This 766-nucleotide long non-coding RNA is filed under the name Androctonus crassicauda. The record is from RNAcentral. Lineage: Eukaryota; Metazoa; Arthropoda; Arachnida; Scorpiones; Buthidae.
GGAAUGAAAAGUUGUGAAAAAAAAUAAAAUUUCAAAAAAUGCUUACAUUGAUAGAGAGUAAAAAUUUGCAAUAAAUACUGAAAAUUUGAAAAUAUUUUUGAUCAAAAUUAAGUGAUAUUUCAUAAUUUUAAUUUUGUUUUGUUUGCAUAAUAAUUAGAUUUAAUUUCAAAAAUUCAUUAGCAUUCAAGAGAUUAAAAGCACUUGAUAAUUUCUGCUUUUACUCAAAGUUUGUGUAGGAAUGUCAUUAUCUCAUUGUGGAACUGUCAAACAGGAAGAGGGUUCAAUUUGUUUGGUACCAUUGAAGGCAAUGAGGUUGCAGAUGGGCUAACCAAGAAAGGAUUUCUUGUCCCUUUAUUGGAUAUGGUCUUCUCUGAGCAUUAGAUCUAAUACAUUUGAUCUGAUGCUCAGGAAACUUAGAUUAUCAGGAACUGGUUUGCCAGCUCAACAUUGGACGUUCAUUCCUAGACUAAGGCAAGCAAAGACAUUUGUUUUAGGCCCAUCAUUACAGAGAACUAAAGAGUUACUUGCAUUAUAUAAAAAUCAAAUAAGAACUGCUACAGAGUUCUUUAUAAAGCACUGUCAUCUUAAAAAACAUUUCCACUUAACUGAAUUUUGAUAAGCUUAAACAUUAUACAUAUGUCAGGGAAGUCUUCUUUAUAUAUUGUGUAAAUGUGUGGCCCUUGAGUGCUAAGAUACAUCUUCUAGAGUUAUGUUUUACUCCAUUAAAAUAUUUUAUAAUCCCAUUGAGAAAAAAAACUUUAUUUUG